RNAcentral lists this ribosomal RNA (248 nucleotides) under uncultured bacterium. RNAcentral describes it as "partial 16S ribosomal RNA". It matches the Rfam family "Bacterial small subunit ribosomal RNA", at positions 113 to 354 of the family's 1533-position model. The record is from RNAcentral.
CAACGUAGGGAACCUGCCCAUGCGGCCGGGACAACUUCCGGAAACGGAUGCUGAUACCGGAUAAGGAAAGCGAAGGCAUCUUUGCUUUGUUAAAGGAGCUGCAAGGCUCCGCGCAUGGAUGGACCUGCGGUGCAUUAGCUGGUUGGUGAGGUAAAGGCUCACCAAGGCGACGAUGCAUAGCCGGCCUGAGAGGGCGAACGGCCACACUGGGACUGAGACACGGCCCAGACUCCUACGGAAGGCAGCAG